GUGGACUUUGGCAGCGGCGCCCGGGGAGCGGAAGAAGGGCCCCGGUGGCCUCUGAGCAGGCCACUAAAGUCAUUUGGGACUUGUGAUGGAGCCCUGGGCCCCUGCCUGGCCGCCCCAGCCCCAGGAGAGGCAGGCAGCCUGGGGGACACGGGGAGAGGCGCCCCGUGGUCCCCCACCGCAGCCCCGGCGGCAGCUCCUCCGCACGGGGCCCCCGCCUCGGCCCGGCUCCUGGGAUGGGAGCCACCUCCCCGGCCACCCCUGGGACGAAGGCCACCACCCCCGGAGGGACGCCCACAGACCGGCUUCCCGGGCCGAGUACUACGACAGCAGCUACCCCAACAGGCUGCACUCCAGGCAAGGAUAUGAGGACCCCCACUGUCAGUAUCCAUCAGCCAGCUACAGAGAUUUCUAUGCCUACCAAAGCCACCAGUGGCAGCCGGUGGCCUGGCAGGAUGACAGAGGCCUGGGACAGGGUGAGCCUUACAGAAAGAGUACCAAUUACCAGGACCAGCACUACUACAGGGGUUACCACCCCGACCUCGCCACAACCCCCCUGGGGCAGGACAGGGCACAGACCUAUGACUCCUCUGAGGAGAGAUACAUCUCGGCUGCCCGGCCUGAGUGGACCGGGGGAAAAACCCUUGGCAGUGAUACAGGGGAAGCCAGUGGCCAGCCCCAAGAGCCCUCGGGCCAGCCCAGCCUGCUCCUGCAGUACCGUGAGUCAGGACUCAGCUCCAGCAGCCACGAGCUCAGCCAGUACAUCCGUGAUGGUGCCGACCACUACGACCCCAUGCUUUCAGGGACCUGGAGCCUGGCACAAGCAGGGGGGCACUCGGUAUCCACCCCAGCCCCGGUGGUACCCCUCAAGUUCUCACUGCCGCACAUGGCCGUGUGCUUUGGAGCCGGAGGCCAGCUGGUGGUGGUGUGUCCCCACCACCCUGCCGAGGGACAGCUAGCCCACGUUGAGCUACACAGCCUAGAGGUAAUCCUUCAUGACACGAAAGAGCUGGAGGAGCUACAGGCAUUUCCGGGGCCCCUGGCCAGGGAAGAUCUGCACAAGGUGGAUGUGAUGACAUUUUGCCAGCAGAAGAUAGCCACGAGCUGUGAUCUCUCAACACAGAGAGGCAGAGAUUCAUCUCUUCUCUGGAAACUCCUGAUCCUCCUCUGCCGGCAGAAUGGGUCCAUGGUGGGCUCAGACACAGCUGAGCUGCUGAUGCAAGACUGCCAGCGCCGAGAGAAGUACAAGAGGCAAAACCCUGCAGCAAACCUGAUUGGCCUGACGGAUGAUGAGUGGAUGUCGCGUCAGCCAGGGACACUGGACCUCAUCACGGGGGAGGUCCCUCCUGUCGUGGAGACGCAGGCACAGAUAGUGGAGAAGUUCACCAAGCUCCUCUACUAUGGUAGGAAGAAAGAUGCUCUGGUCUGGGCCAUGAGAAACCAUCUGUGGGGUCAUGCCCUCUUCCUCUCCAGCAAGAUGGACCCUCGGACCUACAGCUGGGUGCUCACUGGGUUCACCAGUACGCUGGCCACCAAUGACCCCCUGCAGACCCUCUUCCAGCUCAUGUCGGGAAGGAUCCCUCAGGCAGCGCUGUGCUGCGGGGAUGCCACAUGGGGAGACUGGAGGCCCCACCUGGCUGUGAUGUUGUCCAACAAGGUUGGAGACAUGGAGCUGAACCACCGAGCCAUCGUCACCAUGGGAGACACUUUGGCUGGCAAGGGAGCAGUCGAAGCAGCUCAUUUCUGCUACCUGAUGGCAGAUAUUCCUUUCGGUUACUUCGGGGUGAAGGCAGACCGCAUGGCUCUGCUGGGCAGCAGCCACCGUCAGGCGUUCGCCCAGUUUGCCAGGACGGAGGUCAUCCAGCGGAUGGAAAUCUUUGAGUACUGCCAGCAGCUACGACAGCCCAAAUCCUUCCUACUCCCCUUCCAGGUGUACAAGCUCCUCUAUGCCUCUCGCCUCGCCGACUAUGGACUCCCAGCCCAGGCCCUGCAAUACUGCGAGCAGAUUGCCACCACGCUUCUGGACCAGGAUCCGGCCAGCCACCCUGUCCUGGCCCAACAAGUGAUGAAGCUAGCUGAGCGGCUGAAGCUCUCCGACAUGCUGCUCCUGGAGAUGCCAGAACAGGACCAGACGCUGGAGCCUGACUGGCUGGUACAGCUCCGAGCCUGCUGCCGGGAGUGGGAGGUGGAAGACGACGUCCCUUCAGAGGUGGCACCUGCUCAGCCAGGACUCUCCUGGGCUGCUGCAUCCAUGGCAGAUGGAGAGCCUGGCUGUGAGAUUCCACAGAGUGAAGGCUACCAGUAUGACCAGUGGUACCAGCCCGUGCCACCCCAGGGACCCAGCUCCCAUGAGGACGUGUCCCUCCAGCCCCAGGCACCUGCUCAGGUCACAGCAUCGCCACUGCCUGGCGUUCGGCAAGAGCUGCAGCCCCCCACGCUGGGCCCAGGGAUGGCCACCCCUCUGGGAGGAGGGGGUUUUGCUGAGCCCCCUCCACAGGUGGUGCCAACGGCAGGAGAAGCUGGGGAGUCCUGGGGUGCCCCGCUGUCCCCCAGUGGGGUGCAGCCAUCCCUCCCAGCAGAGCAGGAGGAGUUAAAGGCAAGGGCUCGGACCAUCUCAGAGACCUCCACUGUCUCCUUGGGAGAUGACAGCCAGCCUUCCUCGGAGAGUACAGCCGAAGACACCAGUGAAGAGCCGGCACCAGCAGAGGCAGCGAAGCCAGAUGAGGAUAAGAGCUCUGGAUUCAGGUGGUUUGGCUGGUUUCGGUCGAAGCCCACCAAGGAAACACCUUCCAAAGCCACCUCUGAGACAGCCCUGAACUCCCCCACAUCGGAAGUGCAGGACCGGACGUCACCAUCCCCAGUUGAUGCUCCUCUUGCGGCUGGGACAAGCCCUUUGGCUCAGUCUCCAUCCAGAAACCCCGGAGGAAUGCAAGGUGAAAAUACCUUUCUUAUUACUCCGGUGUCCAUUGAGGUGAGAGGCUCAUGGGAUGCAGAAAGCGGGGAGUCAGCAGGAGAGAAGACUGGCUCCCACAAACCUCCCCCACCGGUGGGUUCAGUCCCGCUCUUCAACCCUGCCCAGGUCUCUCAGCCAGCCCUGCUGAGUUUCCAACCUUCAAAGCCCAUCAUAUCCAGCUGGAUGAGAGCAAGCUUGCCAAGGGGAAGUGUUCGUCCUCUGCUCUUCUUUGGUUUUCUGAGUGGCCCACGACUGUAACGGAUGCCAAGCAGCCCUGACCUUCACCUGACUGGAGUUCCCGCUGCUACUGCGUUAUUACAGCUUCUCUGCCUGAUACAAAUUCAGCUUGGUUCCUCUACCUGGAAAUUUUAUGUGACAAAUGGGUCUCAUUUCUGAUUCUUGUCUCCCUUUGAUGGACCAGGCUGUCUGCUACCUGGGAGGCGUUCGUAGAUCUGAAAGGCCGGAAGGAAGCAUUACAUUUCUCUCCUUUGCCUCCUAUUAACAGUGUGCCAGAGAGACUAAUCCAGCAUUUGAAUUUCAGCCAGGGACCUCCAUAGCACUUUAUCCAGAAGCAAUCUCUUCACGUGCAAAAAAGGAAGCUGGUCACUCCACUGGCUCUUGUCUGGUGUCCCUCAAGCAGGUGGAAGCUGGAGCUGCAUCAGGUUUGCUGCAGCAUCAGGCUGAGGACCAGUGCAGCCCUGUUUGUCAGCUCUCGUUUCUUUGGCAGCUUUCACUUGGAGAGGUGUCCAGCACACCUGGAAUCAACUGACCCAGGGGUGGAAACACAGCCAUACCUUUGCCAUGGACUGAUCCAGACGGCACUGGAACAGGGUGAAGCUUGGGAACAUCUGCAGUACAUUGAUGAUCUUCAUAUGGGGCAACACAGCAGAAGUUUUGGAGAAAGGGAAUAAAAUAGUUCAAAUCCUUCUGAAAGACAGUUUUGCCAUCAAACGAAGUAAGGUCAAGGGACCUGCACAGGAAAUCCAGUUUUUAGGAAUAAAAUGGCAAGAUGGAUGCCAUCAGAUCCCAAUAGAUUUGAUCAACAAAACAGAAGCUAUGUCUCCACUGACUAGCAAGAAGGAAACACAACUUAGGUGGAUGCAUAUUCCCAAUUAGAGUCUUAGUGAUAGUCCUCUCUAUCAAGUGACCUGGAAGAAGAACAAUUUUAAAUGGGGCCCUGAGCAACUACAAGCCUUUGAACAAAUCAAACAGGAAAUACUUCAUGCAGUAGUUCUGGGGCCAGUCCAGGCAGGGCAAGAUGUUAAAAAUGUGCUCUAUGCUGCAACUGGGGAGAAUGGCCCUACUUGGAGCCUCUGGCAGAAAGCACUGGGGGGCCUCGAGGUUGACCCCUAGGGCUUUGGAGUCAGAGAUACAGAGAUCCCCAGAUAUAGAUUUCACUGUCCUCCAACUGAAAAAGAGAUAUUGGCACCAUGCGAAGGGGUUUGAGCUGCUUCAGAAGCGGUUGGUGCUGAACCACAGCUCCUCUUAGCACCUUGAGUGUCGCUGCUGGGCUGGAUGUUCAAAGGGAGGGUCCCCUCUACACAUCAUGCAACUGAUGUGGGAGCGGAGUAAGUGGGUUGUGCUGAUCACACAGCAGGCUUGAGUGGGAAACCCCAGUUGCGCAGGAAUUCUGGAAGCGAUCAUGGACUGGCCAGAAGGCAAAGAUUUCAGAAUAUUACCAGAGGAAGAGGUGACACGUGCUGAAGACGCUGCACUGUACAAUAAACUACCAGAAAAUGAGAAGCAAUAUGCCCUGUUCACUGUUGGGUCCUGUAGUACUGUAGGAAAACAUCAAAGGUGGAAGGCUGCUGGGUGGAGUCCUACACAACGAGUUACAGAAACUCAGUUUGUGGAAGUGAAAGCUAUCCAGCUGGCUUUAGAUGUUGCAUAUCAAGAAAAGUGGCCAGUGCUCUAUCUCUACACUGACUUGUGAAUGGUGGCAAAUGCUUGGUGGGGGUGGUUACAGCAGUGGAAGCAGGGCAACUGGCAGUGCAGAGGCAAACCCAUCUGAGCUGCCCCAUCGUGGCAAGAUAUUGCUGCCCGGCUAGAGAAUUUGGUUGUGAAAGUAGAUCACAUAGAUACCCAUGUAUUUACGAGUUGGGCCACUAAGGAAUAUCAAAACAACCAGCAAAUGGAUCAGGCUGCUAAGACUGAAGUGGCUCCGGUGGAUCUGGACUGGCAACAGAAGAGUAAAUUAUUUAUAGCUCGGUGGGCCCAUGACACCUAGGCCAUCAAGUAAGAGAUGCAACAUAUAGGUGGGCUCGUCACUGAGGGGUGGACUUGACCAUGGACACUAUUGCACAGGUUAUCCACGAAUGUGAAACGUGCUGCAAUCAAGCAAGCCAAGUGGUUAAAGCCUCUCUGGUAUGGAGGACGAAGGUUGAAAUAUAAAUACGGGGAGGCCUGGCGGAUUGGUUACAUCACACUCCCACAAACCCACCAAGGCAAGUGCCUUAAGCUCACAAUGGUGGAAGCAACCAUUGGCUGGCUGGAAACAUAUCCUGUGCCCUGUGCAACCACCUGGAACACUAUCCUGGGCCUUGAAAAGCAAGUCCUGUGGCGACAUGGCACCCCUGAGAGAACUGAGUCAGGCAAUGGGACUCAUUUCUGAAACAACCUCAUAGACACUUGGGCCAAAGAGCGUGGCAUUGAGUGGGUAUACCACCUUCUCUAUCACACGCCAGGCUCUGGGGACAUAGAGCGAUACAAUGGACUGCUAAAAACUACACUGAGAGCAAUGGAUGGUGGGACCUUAAAACACUGGGAUACACAUUUAGCAAAAGCUACCUGGUUAGUUAACACCAGGGGAUCUACCAAUAGAGCUGCCCCUGCCCAAUCAAAACUUCCACGUACCGUAGAAGGGGAUGAAGUCCCCAUAGUGCAUAUGGGUGCACUUGGUGGGUGAUGCGGAAGGUUGGGGAGAUCUGAUGUGUACCUCAUGGGGAUGGGGAUUUGAUUUUGGGUGAGAAUAGCCAAUGAAUCAAAUUCGAGGAUGUUAAUUGCUAAAUAACCUUGCCACUGUGUGUCGUCACCACUACAAUUGCCAUGUGCCAUAUCAAUGGUAGUACAGAACGGUUCACCCAGACUAAUGAAGGAUGAACUUUGAUGACAACUGAGUAAAAUGCAGCGGUGAUGGGAACAGAACUGGCUGCAGCAACUGGCGCCCAGCAACUCCCUUGAGAUCAACAUCUUCAGCCUGCAGACUGUGGGCAUGGGUCACACCAGAUACACCAUCUGCGAGCUCUGGAUACAGCAUGCAACAGUCCAGCACCACACACCGUCUCUUCUGCCCUGAGAGACUGUUGUGGCAGAUGGAGCUAUAAGUCCAUGAACUCAAUGGACGUUUUAGAGGUAUGGCCCAUAGAUUAAGGGAAUGAGAUCUCUGUGCAUGUAUGUGUGUGUAUAUAUAUAUAUUUCAAAAACAGGGAAAAGUGGUGGUCAUUCACUGGAAAGCGUAUGAUCCAGGCAUGACAUAGACGGUAUAGAAUAAGGGGUGGAUAAUCUCCUGGUUCUGGUGGGGAUAGCGUUAAUUUUCACCAGAAGCUGGGACGGGGCACAGCCAGGAGGCUUACCCAAACUAGCCAAAGUGGCA
This is an RNA transcript of Chroicocephalus ridibundus (black-headed gull), 6542 nucleotides long. It is a transcript of the gene named SEC16 homolog B, endoplasmic reticulum export factor, with no coding region annotated. The record is from RefSeq and is a predicted model, not a curated record. Lineage: Eukaryota; Metazoa; Chordata; Aves; Charadriiformes; Laridae. The transcript is spliced from 28 exons.